GAUGAACGCUAGCGGCAGGCCUAACACAUGCAAGUCGAGGGAGGAGCUUUCGGGCUUCGACCGGCGUACGGGUGCGUAACGCGUAUACAAUCUGCCUUUCACAUAGGGAUAGCCCGAAGAAAUUUGGAUUAAUACCUAAUAGUAUAUAGAUGUGGCAUCACAUUUAUAUUAAAGCUGAGGCGGUGAAAGAUGAGUAUGCAUUCUAUUAGCUAGUUGGAGAGGUAACGGCUCCCCAAGGCGACGAUAGAUAGGGGUUCUGAGAGGGAUAUCCCCCACACUGGUACUGAGAUACGGACCAGACUCCUACGGGAGGCAGCAGUGAGGAAUAUUGGACAAUGGUCGGAAGACUGAUCCAGCCAUGCCGCGUGCAGGAAGACGGCCUUAUGGGUUGUAAACUGCUUUUGCAGGGGAAGAAUAAGGAGUACGUGUACUUUGAUGACGGUACUCUGCGAAUAAGCAUCGGCUAACUCCGUGCCAGCAGCCGCGGUAAUACGGAGGAUGCGAGCGUUAUCCGGAAUCAUUGGGUUUAAAGGGUCCGUAGGCGGGCUAAUAAGUCAGAGGUGAAAGCGCUCAGCUCAACUGAGCAACUGCCUUUGAAACUGUUAGUCUUGAAUGGUUGUGAAGUAGUUGGAAUGUGUAGUGUAGCGGUGAAAUGCUUAGAUAUUACACAGAACACCGAUAGCGAAGGCAUAUUACUAACAAUUAAUUGACGCUGAUGGACGAAAGCGUGGGGAGCGAACAGG
RNAcentral lists this ribosomal RNA (743 nucleotides) under uncultured Capnocytophaga sp. Its description in RNAcentral is "bacterial SSU rRNA". It matches the Rfam family "Bacterial small subunit ribosomal RNA", at positions 28 to 776 of the family's 1533-position model. The record is from RNAcentral. Lineage: Bacteria; Pseudomonadati; Bacteroidota; Flavobacteriia; Flavobacteriales; Flavobacteriaceae.